Molecule: ribosomal RNA, 326 nt
Filed under: uncultured eukaryote
Lineage: Eukaryota
Description: partial 18S ribosomal RNA
Rfam family: Eukaryotic small subunit ribosomal RNA
Source: RNAcentral
CCCUUAGAUGUUCUGGGCCGCACGCGCGCUACACUGAUGCAUUCAACGAGUCCAACCUUGACCGAGAGGUCCGGGUAAUCUUUGAAACUGCAUCGUGAUGGGGCUAGAUUAUUGCAAUUAUUAAUCUUCAACGAGGAAUGCCUAGUAAGCGUGAUUCAUCAAAUCGCGUUGAUUACGUCCCUGCCCUUUGUACACACCGCCCGUCGCUCCUACCGAUUGAAUGUGUUGGUGAGGAGCUCGGAUUGGCAGCAGUUGGUGGUUCGCCACCGGCUAUUGCUGAGAAGUCCUCCAAACCGCCCCAUUUAGAGGAAGGAGAAGUCGUAACA